This 5840-nucleotide unclassified non-coding RNA is filed under the name Leishmania donovani. RNAcentral describes it as "gene:LdHU3.13.1150(CDS-product:subtilisin-like_se rine_peptidase)". The record is from RNAcentral. Lineage: Eukaryota; Euglenozoa; Kinetoplastea; Trypanosomatida; Trypanosomatidae.
CGGAAGAAGGCGCGGCCUGUGGCGUUUACUCGUGGCCAUAGCAUCGGCCUGCUCAGCACAGCCCUCCACGCACGAGCGCGCGCACGGAGGCGCGCGGGCCUAAACGCGACUACGCUGCGUAGCCACUGCACCGCCACUCCCUCACCCUCACCCUCUCCCAGCGACCAAGGUGGUGGUGUGUUAACACUGGCUGGCAGAGAGGGCGCGGGUGUGAGGUCACAAGCACGCUCCGAUUGAGGUAGUGGUGAUGGAGGCGGUGGUUGCCCUGCGGCUGCUCACCAUCCAUAUUCUCGCCGCACUCUUACUGGUGCUGCCGUCGUUCCCUCUCGCGGAAGGGCCGUGGCCGCUGAGUGUGCAGGCUGCACACCGUUCCACAGAUGCGCACGCCGAAGGGCCGAGCAUACAUCCCCGCAAGUACUACCUUGGUAAGUAUGGCGCACACUGCAUCAGAAACUUGACGGAGUUCGUCGCGUCCGAGGACGCUGCAGAGCGCCUCGCCUGCUUCUCUGGACGUGGCGUUCGCGUGGCGUUACUCGAGACCGGUUUGUGUGCCGGCAUCGCUGAGCGCAGCCGUAACUCCGUUACCUGUACGAGUGUCGUGCCUGGCGUGGCGUGCGAAGAUGCCGGCUGCGCUCACGGGACGCGCAGUGUGAGCGUGCUGGCAGGACAGCUCUCUGUGUCGGCACCGCUGCCUAGAGAACCACUGGAGGAGACUGCGUGGCGCAACAGAGAAACACACCUCGCCUUGGCUGAUCAGUACAUCGGGCUCGCCCCUGACUCCACGGUGCGCGUGUUGCGUAUCUUCGACAGACAAGGGCGCACAAACCGACGCCACCUCGCCCGCGCCCUCGACCUGCUGCUGCGUGAGGCGGAGGACGGCGAAGCAGGUCGCCUGCACAGUGCGUGGAACACAUCCAGUGCGCACAUCCGCCGCCGCGACGAGACCGUGGAUGUGAUUAGCCUGUCCUAUGGCAGCAAAGACUACCACAGUAGCCCGCAGGUGCAGGACAGGUUGUACCGGCUGAUGCAUGAGCACGGCGUCAUCGUCGUAGCGGCCGCCGGCAACGACGGGGCGCGCUUCGGCAGCGUGCGAAGCCCAGCGGACAUGCCCGGCGUGUUGGCCGUCGGUGCCCUGAGGAUGGAAUGGCACGGCAGGUCGGCACAGACAACGCAGGCGUCACGCACUCUCGGCGACUUGGCGAGCUCCCUUGCCGCCGGUGGCGGUCACAAGUCUGUUGCGCAUUUCUCUGGGCGUGGCCCUACCACAUGGGAGCUGCCCUUCGGUGCAGGACGUGCAAAACCGGAUCUCGUCGCUCUCGGCCAACACGUGUGGGCUGUCCAAGGUGUUUCGGCGGCGGCGUUCUCCGCUGCGGCUCCACGGGCACGUAGUGCUUCACCUGCGCUGCAGCUGCGCUCCGCGUCUGGGACGAGUAUUGCCGCCCCUAUCGUGGCCGGAGUGGUGGCGCUCUGUCUCGAGGCGGCAUGGUCAUCUACGUCCGCUGUAGCAUUAGCACAGAACAUGACCGGAGGUGGUUCUUUCCUUGACGUGCGUCAGAAUCGACUUGCCCGUGUUUCCGAUUCGCUGCGGGUGCGUGAGGUGAUCUUGCGGACGGCCGUUCCUCUGGGAGAAGCCGCCGCAUCACUGCCGCCAUGGCCUCACUCCGCACCCACCACGCCUUUACACAGCGACUCCUCCUCGACGGCGUCAGAGGCGCAUCCUCGCCGAGUGCUGGCUGGUGUGCCACUGCUAAAGCUUUAUGCCGGCUACCUUCGCCUGUCGCGAGUCAGCAUUCUCUCGCAAGGAGCGGGCGAGGUGCAGCCGCUCCGCGCGCUGCACGCCAUCGUCGCGAAGGCAGCUGCGUCCUCGGCCAUCGAUGCACCGGAGGCGUUGCGCAACUGCGCCUCUUUCGCCAUACCAACAUGCGUGCGCAUCGGCUAUAGGAUUCCACGUUGCAGCAACAGCAACAGCAGCAGCAGCAGCAGCAGCGGGGACAUGAGCACCCCGCAGAGCUGUCAGCCUCCUCAUGAUCCUGACGGGAAGGCACACGGCGACUCGCCGUUGCCGGGUAGAUCCGGCAUGUCCCUGGACGCACCGCCCGCCGCGUACUGGUGGCCCUUCUCCGACCAAGCAGUCUACCCCGGCGCCACACCCGUGCUGCUGAACAUUUCUCUCCACCUCUGCCCCCCUUCUUCGCCCGCUGCCGCAGAUCAGGGCACGCGUGACGCUGCCGCUGCAGCAAGUGGCAAAGGUGCACGUCGAGGGUCAACGACGCAUAUCCACGUCACGCAUGUAAUCACCAAGGUAAGCGGGCACGUGCGUGCGCGUGAAGGUCAUCCAUCACGGAACAGCAGUCACCAGUGUGACGCCUGUCCUCUCCUCUUUGAGGGUGCGAAGAGCCGCCACCGUGCGGGCUCGACAAGCCCGACGCGGCUUCUGAACUUGACGGCACGGAGCGCCUCUCCGCGCGCAUCAUGCAGUGACGGAGAGGUGGCUGGGGAGGGGGCCACGGUAAUGGGGCCGCGACACACACAAACAGCCGUGUGUUCAUCUGUGAAGCGGUGGAGCACGCAGCAACGGUGGAUACACCACCUUCUACGCGUGGCGACCGAGCUCACGGUGGUGGCGAGCAGAUCGCAGACGCGCGCUAACGUGGUAGAGCAGCUGUCACCGCCACCGACAUCUUUCAGCCUCUCCGUCGCCGUCUCCUCCCCCGCGUCCGCGCACACGCAUCUUUGCUACGACGUCGCGCGCGAGACAGUGGCGGUGUGGCGGAAGAAGGGCAAGAGCUCGCCGGCCAGCGAGAAGGACGCCGCGGCUGGUCGGCGCUCGGCCGACGGUGACGAUGGCCACGACAAGCAGCAUUCAAGGGACGGUGCGCAGGUGCCAGCAGACCACGACCGUUGCGUUCCGCUUUUUCAUCUGUUUCGCGCGCUGAGCGUGGAAGGCGCGCUGCAUAUCUUCACUGGCAGCUCCUCCUCGCAGCCCGCGCUGACAGUGCCGUUCGCUGUUCGCGUCGUGGAGCCGCCGCCCCGGGUGCAGCGGGUGCUGAUCGACACAAGUCUCGACUGUUUCAACCCUACGACGGCCACCUCGAAUUUGUUCAUCGCCGGCGACGACCCACACGAGUCGGACGCUGGCGGCGCAGGCGCGGCACUGCGGCGCGGGCGGCAGCGUCAGCGUCACGAGCGCGCCUACGCCGAGGCGAGUGGUGGCGAUCACCCGUUCACAAACCUCGCUCUGCUAUACCUCUACCUGCGCCACACACUUGGAAUGGCAGUGGAGACGUUCCCGCUACUGCACAUGAGCACGAUAGCCACCUCGAUCGCAGCUAGCCAUAGCCCACCGCUCUGGCCCCCUGCAGAGCGCACCUCCAACGUCUCCCGCACUGCGCAGAGGGCACCCGCAGGCACUCUGGCACACAUCGGCACGCUGAUCAUCGUCGACCCGGAGCGGCCGCUGACACGCGGUAUGCGGCGUCUCCUAACGCGUGCGGUGCUCGGCGGCGGCGCGGAUCGCUCAGCGGACGGCCUCAACGUUCUUCUGGUGACGGACUGGUACAGCGCCGAUCUGGCGGCGCAGCUGCACUGGGCGCGCGACGAAAGCCUAUACGAUGCAGAGCGCUUCUCCCACAUCAACGGCACCGACGCGACGGACGAGGUGGCCGGUGCCGAUGGCGACAGGGAUGCUGUGCGCGACUUGCGGGCGCUUAGGCAAUCGGAAAACGGCUCUACCCGCGGCCUCGCCGGCUCCAGUCACGUGCCGUCGUGGAACCGUUGGCUGUCAGAGGUGACGGUCGCGUCGGGCAGUGCGGCCAACAGCAGCGACUGCGAUGGCGCAGCCCCUCUGGGCAGCGAGGGGCUUCUAGACGGAACAUCUGAGUUGCCAUUUGAGCUGAGCGAGAGCAUCGUGAUAGACGGCGCUGUGUUGGUCGACGCUGCCGCCCCGAGGAGGAGGAGCGAGCCUGAGGGCAACGCAUUCGCCUCGCACGGCGGCACCGUCACCUCGGCAAAGGUGGUCGCUCUCCGCUCUCUUGGGCAGCUGUGCGCCGCCGGCGUGCUGCGAUGGCGUCUCCCCGCGCAGGCAGCAGUGCAGCGACAGGCAGGGAGAGCUACCGCGGUCGGAGCUUCUAAAGGGGUACGUGAGCCCAACGUUUACCCAAGUGGUAACGGCACCUGCAGCACCGGCGACGCAUCGAACACCUCAGCUAUGCCUUCAACGCAAGAGGGUGAGGCUGUCAUAUGCAAUGUCAUGCCAAGCUGGGCGCAGCAGCAGCGGCGCCUCGUAAAGCGCACCGUCGUCAGCACAAGAGACGGCUCGGCGCCGGCGGCUGUGGUUGAAGACGGCUGGGAAGAUGUGCCUGUCGCAAACGGGGACGGACGUCUCGUCCGCAUCGGCGGACUGGAGGCGGCCGAGGUCAGCACAAUGGCACCAGCAGCAACGGGCGCAAGCGACGCCACGCAGAGUCUCACGCACGGUGUGCUGGGCUUUCUCACGCUUCCCCCAUCCUCCACACUCGUUUCCACCGUGUCCGCCAACCGCUUUCGGCCUGGGCGCAUAGCGAUCUUCACGGACUCGGACUGCCUGUCGGCCUCGGACCACCACGCACAAGCCGCCCUGGAUGAGUUGGAAGCUCUUCUCUACCCACCUUCCGCUUCGCCAUCGUUACCCGUGACGACCUGCGCGACGUGGGACUGCUUUUCACGCACUCCCGACGGGCAACGGCUGCUCCAAGCAGAGUCGGCGCAGAGCUCCGUGUGCGUCGAAGUGGUGAAGGAGCUGCUGCUGUGGCUGCACACGGGAAACCUGCACCGCUGGCGGGACUCUGCCCAGCUCCAGUGUGAGGCGCGUACGUGGGCACGAGCACGGCAUCGGAGCACGGCGGACACCACCCCUGGUGCAGGCAGCGUGCUCGAGCCCAAAGCAGGGGAGGAUAGCGUUGAAGGUGAUCGCGAAACAGCGAACUUCGACGAGCUGCUCGGAACGGCGCCAGAGCGUGCGCACGUCGGCGAGGUGGUGUGGCGGUUAUGGGCUUCUUUGGUGGAAAGCACAGAGCGCGAUGCAGCGUCGUUCCUUGUCGAGGGUCCGAAAGAAGGGACCCGCUUUCAAGGCGACUACGCAGCACAUCAGGAGAGCGCCGCGGCUAACGUGAUGCGCGCCUUGAUGGUGAAGUACCAUGGAGACUGGCGUGCACAUCUGCUGGACCAUAAUGUGUCACCGCCAAGCACCGGCGCCGCCGGCGACUCAUACUCACAAUCUCUACGCCCCGCGCGUGGCCGGCGGAGCGGCAUUGCGACCGUGCAGCAGCCAGAGCAGCAUAUCUCCUUGAUAGAGAGCCUGCUGCCGUUGUGCGGCAUGCUCAACGCCCUGCGGUGGCUGCAGCAUCCGAUGGUGCUUGGUCAGCUCAUGGUUAGUGCAGCUGUCGUGAUGAGCGUGUGGUUGUGCCGUGCAGGGGGCGGUCGUUGGAGAGGCCAACGCGCGUGACUGCCCUCUGUCGAGUUCGUCAACUGUGGCGUGUUCGCUCUUGAAGAUGCUUGUUGAGAGGAUGCACACAUGCGGCAGGAAGAAGUGGGAAAAAGGCGAUGAGCUGAUCAAGGGCGUCGGCGUCGGAGCGUCACGGUGGUGCGGCGCCUCCUCCCUUCCUUUGUGCGUUUUCUCGAUCUCGCCACCUCUGACCGGAUGCAAGUGAGGGGAAGAGCCGGCGCGUGUGUGCUGUCGUGAGCGCGACUGGAGUAUGUCUGCGACUGGGUCUCGUGUGGGCUGCGCUUCGGGCCAUGGCCAUCGGCCCCAGUGCUCUCGCGCCCCCGCCACCAGGUCAGCGGCUCGAACAGCAAAGCAGAAG